Molecule: small nucleolar RNA, 96 nt
Filed under: Helianthus annuus (common sunflower)
Lineage: Eukaryota; Viridiplantae; Streptophyta; Magnoliopsida; Asterales; Asteraceae
Description: Small nucleolar RNA Z159/U59
Rfam family: Small nucleolar RNA Z159/U59
About the family: This family consists of several snoRNA Z159 or U59 sequences which are members of the C/D class of snoRNA which contain the C (UGAUGA) and D (CUGA) box motifs.
Source: RNAcentral
UUCUCUGAUGGAUUCAAAUAAAAACUUUCGUUCUUCCGAGGAUGGUAUCCGUCCAUCCAUGCGGAAACGAUUAUUGGAGACCUGAACUGAAGAGGC